Camelina sativa (false flax) is the source of this 605-nucleotide long non-coding RNA. RefSeq lists it as uncharacterized. The record is from RefSeq and is a predicted model, not a curated record. NCBI's taxonomy places the organism in Eukaryota, Viridiplantae, Streptophyta, Magnoliopsida, Brassicales, Brassicaceae.
ACAUUUUUCUUUGUCAUCACUCACGAUCUCCACCUCUUCCACUUCUUCUCCGCCAAAAUCUCGACUAUCUGUAUCUAUAAACUCUUUCGAUGGUCUUCUCAUCUUUUCACAUCGAUUAUUCUCCACAAUCAGGAAAAAGAGUUAAGAGACAAAGAUUGAAGAUUGAAGAUUCUCAUUGUCGACAAGUGGGUAAACGUGAGACAAUGACAAAUGUUGUUUUCAAAGAAAUAUUUAUAAAUCUGCAGGGUUAUGGAAGUUAGCAGUUCCCUAACUAUGACAACUAGAAUAGAAAUUGUGGAUGCAGCGGAUAACACAUGAUCAUGAUGAACCUUUUGUAUUUUCUCUAUAUUGUUCUCUGAUUUUUCUAUAUGCACCAGCAUCAUUAUAUCGAUGUUGUGAUUACUUAGGUGUUUAUUUUUAAGUUUGAUGAAAUACAGAAAUAUUGCCAAUAAAGCUUUAUGGAGCUUACUUCUUCGCCCCUUCCAUUUUCGACCAGUCACUUUCUCUCUCUAAGCUCACUUUAUGGAUAAUUCAUCCCUAUGUUCUUUGUAUGUGUUUGACGAAAAACAAAAAAUGUUCUUUGUAUGUAAUCGUGGGUUAAAGUA